ACGUAGGUGGCGAGCGUUGUUCGGAUUUAUUGGGCGUAAAGGGUCCGCAGGGGGUUGGACAAGUCUGAUGUGAAAUCUCAUGGCUCAACCAUGAAAUUGCAUUGGAAACUAGCCGACUAGAGUACCGGAGAGGAAAGCGGAACUCCAGGUGUAGCGGUGGAAUGCGUAGAUAUCUGGAAGAACAUCGAGAGCGAAGGCAGCUUUCUGGACGGUUACUGACCCUCAGGGACGAAAGCAUGGGGAGCAAACAG
RNAcentral lists this ribosomal RNA (251 nucleotides) under uncultured prokaryote. RNAcentral describes it as "partial 16S rRNA". It matches the Rfam family "Bacterial small subunit ribosomal RNA", at positions 525 to 775 of the family's 1533-position model. The record is from RNAcentral.